AUGUUUUGCCUUUUCUUUUGCUCAUUGUUCCCUAAAGCCACAUAUUUGUUUUAUGAUUUUCCACCUUCACAUGCCAUUUCUUCUUAUUCUCCCCAGAUGCCUCAUUGCUAUGUCUCUCCCUUUUUUCUCCAGCAUCUUACUUGCUGUUGGAAGUCUGGCUUGACCCAAUGUGAGGCCCUCUUCUCCAUUCCAGAUCCAGGACACCAUUCCCUGAAGGAGCCAUCAGGGGCCUGUGGGAUAGAGGCCAUUGCUGGGGAUGCCCUGAUAGAGGUCCUUCAACAAAUAACAAGUAAGAGGCUGCAGUUUCUGCAACGAGAGAUGAUGGGGCUGAAAUGUCAGCAGGACAGACCAGGAUGGAAGAUCAAUCACGGAGCGGAGAGAAGGUGUGGUCACUGGAUUGGGGGCACCUCCUACCCGCCAUGCUUGAGCAUCCUCUUCGUGGAAAGAUCUCUAUCUCUCUGGUUCCCCAUGCUGUGAGCUCCCCCAGGCAAAGGCUGUACCUUUUGUUUUCCUCAGCACCUCUCUUAGAACCCAGAACAAUGUCCAGAGGAGAACAGGCAUUCAGGGUAAAUGUUGAGUCAGUGUUGUCCCAGCCUUGGUGAAGCAGGGGCAUCUAGCAUGCUGUGAGAUGCUGUGUGCUGAGGAGUUAUAUUCCAGGGUACUAACUGGCAGCCAGACCCAUCACUGCAGGUUUGGAUUUGUCACUUAUUAGCUGAGUACCUUUUGGCAAACUCCAUUAUUUUCAAAUGUCUUGAUUUUUAAAAAUGGGAAAAUUAGUACUUUCACAGGGUUGUCAUAAGAAAGAAUCAGGAUAGUGAACACGAAAGCAAUUUUAAACCAAACUGCUCAGUGGAAGUAUAAUUUUAGCUUAUUAUCCUUCUCAUCACUGUCACCACCCAGAUGCAUGAAUCAACAAAUGGACCCGGGAAGAAAGGCAGAAGGAGAAGCAGAGAUGAAAUGCUCACAGUAAACCUAGGGAGACAUAAUUUCCAGGAUUUGAACAUUCUGGCUAAAGAGAGUUUGAACAUAACCUAGUUUAACCCUCUUAUUUCAUAGAAUGAGGAAACGUCCCUGAAGAAGGAAGUGACUUGCCCAAGUUCAUGAGCCAGCCAAUGUAGCUGCUGAACUAAGAAAGGAUCCAGUCUGUCUAAGACGAUUGAACAUUCUCCUAACUUUCUUGACAAAAGAAGUGUCUGAAUCUUUCCUUCCAAAUUCUGUCCUCUCCAUGCUCUCCUGCCUCUUCCCUGAUCAGAGGACACAUGGCUUUCCGGUUACACACUCAGUGUAAGGAAUUAGGGGGAUGAAUUACACAGCAGUCAUCCCUUCCCCAAGUUCCCCAAGAAUAACAAAUGGCUGCCCAUUCUGAGUCAAGAGCCUUUUUUUUUUUUGGCUCAAACAAGCCAAGAGGUGCAAAGGACCUCAUCCUAAAGGUUAAUUUCCACUACAAAAGGAUAGAGUUCCAUUUAGGUGAACAAAUACAAGUUUCUUAGUCAUGUUGGUGGACCUGAUGAAAGAGAAAUAAAGGCUUUGCAGAAAUGAAAACUCA
RNAcentral lists this long non-coding RNA (1546 nucleotides) under Sus scrofa (pig). Its description in RNAcentral is "lncRNA (ENSSSCG00015003844.1)". Lineage: Eukaryota; Metazoa; Chordata; Mammalia; Artiodactyla; Suidae. The record is from RNAcentral.